UACGGGGGGGGUAAGCGUUGUUCGGAAUUACUGGGCGUAAAGGGCUCGUAGGUGGCCAACUAAGUCGGACGUGAAAUCCCUCGGCUUAACCGGGGAACUGCGUCCGAUACUGGUUGGCUUGAGUUUGGGAGAGGGAUGCGGAAUUCCAGGUGUAGCGGUGAAAUGCGUAGAUAUCCGGAGGAACACCGGUGGCGAAGGCGGCUUCCUGGACCGACACUGACGCUGAGGCGCGAAAGCUAGGGGAGCAAACGGG
This 253-nucleotide ribosomal RNA is filed under the name uncultured bacterium. RNAcentral describes it as "partial 16S ribosomal RNA". It matches the Rfam family "Bacterial small subunit ribosomal RNA", at positions 524 to 776 of the family's 1533-position model. The record is from RNAcentral.